CCUACGGGAGGCAGCAGUGGGGAAAUACUGGACAAUGGGCGAAAGCCUGAUCCAGCAAUGCCGCGUGUGUGACGAAGGCCUUAGGGUUGUAAAGCACUUUCACCCGCGAGGAUGAUGACGGUAGCGGGAGAAGAAGCCCCGGCUAACUCCGUGCCAGCAGCCGCGGUAAUACGGAGGGGGCGAGCGUUGUUCGGAAUUACUGGGCGUAAAGGGCGUGUAGGCGGCCUUGUCAGUCAGGCGUGAAAUCCCCGGGGCUCCAACCUGGGACGUGCGGCUUGAUACUGCAGGGGCUUGAGAGCGAGAGAGGUAAGCGGAAUUCCCAGUGUAGAGGUGAAAUUCGUAGAUAUUGGGAAGAACACCAGUGGCGAAGGCGGCUUACUGGGCUCGUUUCUGACGCUGAGGCGCGAAAGCGUGGGGAGCGAACGAUUAGAUACCCUGGUAGUCCACGCCGUAAACGAUGUGUGCCAACGUCGGGGGUUAGCCUUCGGUGUCGCAGCUAACGCAUUAAGCACACCGUCCCGGGGAGUACGGCCGCAGGUUAAAACUCAAAUGAAUUGACGG
RNAcentral lists this ribosomal RNA (561 nucleotides) under uncultured bacterium. Its description in RNAcentral is "bacterial SSU rRNA". It matches the Rfam family "Bacterial small subunit ribosomal RNA", at positions 338 to 916 of the family's 1533-position model. The record is from RNAcentral.